RNAcentral lists this ribosomal RNA (253 nucleotides) under uncultured bacterium. RNAcentral's name for it is "partial 16S ribosomal RNA". It matches the Rfam family "Bacterial small subunit ribosomal RNA", at positions 524 to 776 of the family's 1533-position model. The record is from RNAcentral.
GACGAACCGUGCGAACGUUGUUCGGAAUCACUGGGCUUAAAGGGCGCGUAGGCGGGUCAUCAAGUCCGGGGUGAAAUCUUUCGGCUUAACCGGAAAACAGCCUUGGAUACUGGUGGUCUCGAGCGAGGUAGGGGCCGUUGGAACUUCCGGUGGAGCGGUGAAAUGCGUUGAUAUCGGAAGGAACGCCGGUGGCGAAAGCGAACGGCUGGACCUCUUCUGACGCUGAGGCGCGAAAGCCAGGGGAGCGAACGGG